Molecule: non-coding RNA, 556 nt
Organism: Phascolarctos cinereus (koala)
Lineage: Eukaryota; Metazoa; Chordata; Mammalia; Diprotodontia; Phascolarctidae
Source: RefSeq, a predicted model, not a curated record
GGAAGUGUCACAAAACAUCUUUCAAAGAAUUAUUACCAGAUGAAUAUGGCUUUGGAAUUCAGUGUUUCUAAGAUGUUAUCUUAUUAGUCUUCACAACAUGCUGGGAAGAAGGAAGAACAUAUUGUUCUCAUCUGACAGACAGUGAAAUGGAGGAUGGAACCUCCAGUCUCCAGCAGAGUUGUAAAUAGAGACGCUGAUAAUAUUAACAAAGGAGUUACUCAAGUGGAAUAGGUGAUAAAGUCAUAAGGAAGUCGAUUGCAAGAUUUACAAUGGAUAAAUAAGAAGAGUAAUAAUAUCAGAAAAAAAAAGAGCUGAAAACAGGAUUGGCUGCAGAUAACCACCGUGCGUCUAAUCUAGGCUCUCAUCACCUCAGGCCUAAAUAAGCCAAUAACUGGAUUGUCUCACAUCUCAGACUCCUCCAAUUCAUCUUGCAAUGUUGCCAGAUUAAUCUUCCCAAAGUAUACCUUUCAUUAUGUCAACUCUCCCCCCUUCCUCUCUUGCACACACACAUGUCACCUCAGGGGGUAUCUUAUUUCCCAAACUUUGUUUUGUGAAA